AGGAGAAGCUCUCUGCUAUGUUUGGAGGUGCAUCCAUAGAGUGUCACCAGGUUCUUAUGCCUUAAGCGUGCUAGAAUCUCAACUUCAUUCAUGAAUUGCGCCACACGUUUAAAAUUGCUUUCGUAAUGGCGUUUAACUGCAACCACGCGUCCAUCUUUGAGAUCACCUGAUCAACAAUCAGAGGAUAUAUAGUUUAUAAGAAAACUAGAAAACUAAGGGAAAUCAAUUCUGUGAGAAAAUGUAUAUUGGAAAGUGGAAAUUAUAUUGUUAAUUACCUUUGUAAACAGUGCCGAAACCUCCCUCUCCAAGUUCUUUAGAAGUGUGGAAAUUGUUAGUAGCUUCUUCUAGUUCUUCAUAGGUAAAUACCUGGACACCAAAGUAGAAACUCUUUGGCAUUGUGCUGGUUUUGGAAGAGGGGUAAGAAGGAAUACUCUGAGACGAAUUAGUGGUGGAGGUUAGAGUGCCGGUGUUUGUGCCUGAGGUAGUGCUUGAAGGAGGCAUGUACAGGUCAUUGCUUAUUGGUUUCUUGGCAUUUUUCCUCCUUCGCCGCACCACAAAGCAUGCAACAAAGCCAAGAAGGCAAAGAGCUGCA
RNAcentral lists this long non-coding RNA (592 nucleotides) under Medicago truncatula (barrel medic). Its description in RNAcentral is "long non-coding RNA (MTRU_LNC005375)". Lineage: Eukaryota; Viridiplantae; Streptophyta; Magnoliopsida; Fabales; Fabaceae. The record is from RNAcentral.